UACGUGGGGCGCGAGCGUUGUCCGGAAUUAUUGGGCGUAAAGAGCUCGUAGGCGGUUUGUCGCGUCGGUUGUGAAAACCCAAGGCUCAACCUUGGGCCUGCAAUCGAUACGGGCAGACUAGAGUACUGCAGGGGAGACUGGAAUUCCUGGUGUAGCGGUGGAAUGCGCAGAUAUCAGGAGGAACACCGGUGGCGAAGGCGGGUCUCUGGGCAGUAACUGACGCUGAGGAGCGAAAGCGUGGGGAGCGAACAGG
RNAcentral lists this ribosomal RNA (253 nucleotides) under uncultured bacterium. RNAcentral describes it as "partial 16S ribosomal RNA". It matches the Rfam family "Bacterial small subunit ribosomal RNA", at positions 524 to 776 of the family's 1533-position model. The record is from RNAcentral.